Molecule: ribosomal RNA, 492 nt
Filed under: uncultured bacterium
Lineage: Bacteria
Description: partial 16S ribosomal RNA
Rfam family: Bacterial small subunit ribosomal RNA
Source: RNAcentral
AGUGAACGCUGGCGGUAGGCCUAACACAUGCAAGUCGAACGGCAGCACAGUAAGAGCUUGCUCUUACGGGUGGCGAGUGGCGGACGGGUGUGGAAUACAUCGGAAUCUACUUUUUCGUGGGGGAUAACGUAGGGAAACUUACGCUAAUACCGCAUACGACCUACGGGUGAAAGCAGGGGAUCUUCGGACCUUGCGCGAUUGAAUGAGCCGAUGUCGGAUUAGCUAGUUGGCGGGGUAAAGGCCCACCAAGGCGACGAUCCGUAGCUGGUCUGAGAGGAUGAUCAGCCACACUGGAACUGAGACACGGUCCAGACUCCUACGGGAGGCAGCAGUGGGGAAUAUUGGACAAUGGGCGCAAGCCUGGUCCAGCCAUACCGCGUGGGUGAAGAAGGCCUUCGGGUUGUAAAGCCCUUUUGUUGGGAAAGAAAAGCAGCAGGUUAAUACCCCGCUGUUCUGACGGUACCCAAAGAAUAAGCACCGGCUAACUUCGUG